UUGGGAUCCAUGCACUGUUUGGCCUCACAUACUACUCAUAUUGCAAAACAUUGCUUGCUUAUCAAGUCAAAAUUUAUUAGAAAUAUUUGCCUGUCUUGAGGAAAACUCACAGAAGUUACUCACAAUCCAAGGUCUUACUAUACAUAAAAUGCCAUUUAGCAUUUUAACUAAAUUUCGCAUUCUAACUAUUAAGCAUUUAGUCAAUGCCUAGUAAGUGCAGACUUUUUGUUUCAGUUUUAAUAUAUCCUAUCUCCUUCCAGAAAAAUAAUGGAAGUAGAUGACAAGAAUACAUGCAGUAGGACAAGUGAAUGUGUAAGUAAAGGAAUCACACUGAUGGCCAGCGACUGGGAGGGUAAAUAAGAUACUAGGGGUAAAGAUGGCACAUGAAGAGCUCAAGUACAGACAAAGGAAGAUCAAAACUUGGGAUCUGGGCUUCCCAGAAAGUAGAUGAAGGGAAACACUAUCAUGAUUCAUAAUCUUCUUAAUAUUUUUAUAUUAAGCCUAUUAGUUGCUCAGUGAAAGCCCAAUUAUAUCCAGUAUUAAGAUCUCAGAAAUGCUUACUCAAGAGCCUCCAUAAAGUUGAACCAAAUCUCCAGAGUUCAAUACAAUUCUGUGCUUCAUAGAAUUCUCUUCUAAUUUCUCUCAGUAGAGGCUGCUGUAACACCAGAAUGCAAUUCAGUAAAAGCAGAUCUAGCUUCACGGGGCAUGAAAUUCAGAGCCAGGCAGACUUUGGUUUGAAUUGUGACUCUGCCAUUUCCUCCUGGGUCGUCUUGAGCAAGUGAUUUGAUGGUGCUGAGGUUGUUUCUUCCCCUGGAAAACAGCUCUUGACCCUGACUUUGCACAAUUAUUUUAAAGAUUAUUGCCAGUGUAUGAAAAGCGUCUCUGUGCUAGGCACGUGACCACACAUGAUAACUAUUAUUUUGAUGCAGCAUAGCCAUGGCGUUUAUGUAUGUUACUCGCAAAUGGUUUGGCUAAACCCAAAAAUAAAAUUUAGAACAUCUAAACGGGAAUGCAUGUCCUUCAGGCAACCUUCCAUAAAUACAAUUUCUCAUGACUGAUUUUUGAUAGGCACUGGGCAGCGAGCAUUCAGCGUUAUCCUCUUUUGACAAGUACUUGGAGUGCAAAUAUUCUGUUGCCAAUUAGGGACAGACCAUGCUUUAAGCCUCGGCUGAGAUGGGAAUAUAGUUGACAACUCUUUUAAAAGUUGAGAAGCCUAACCAAAACAUACGUCUGUAAAAUGCCACCUCGCCUCCACAUGGACAUGGACUGAGAACGGGACAAGAUUUUUCUCACAAACCUCAAAAUCUGAUGCCAAAGAGCAUGACUGAUUAUUUUAGCCUGGAAAAAUGUUAGAGAGUUCUGUGAAACACCCACCGCCUUAGGCAUAAGCAAGGUCCCAUUAGAAAACUUAUAGCAUCGCUAACCUUAUAACUUCCUGUGAGUCCUCCAACAAAACCUGCCACCCUAGGUGACAAAAUCCUGUUCAGAGUGGUUAGCUUUGUAAGCAAAUAUAGUGUAACAGGGCAUCUGCCAAAAAUAAUUAUCUGGGCUUUAAGAUGUUUAAUCUUAACACUAUUUUUUAAUACUAAUUAAAUACUAGAUUGUUUCUUAAGCUCUCACCUCUUUUGUGACAAUAAAGCUAUGCCAUCAGUACACUAGGAAUGUACUCUUUUUCUCUCUUUUUUUCUCUCUUCUAUUCUUGCUCUGUGUGCAGCUCAGUCCAAAGUGAUAACAGGUCAAUAAAGUAUAUUUUUUAAAGGAGAUGCGGGCUGUUGCAAAUGUGGGAAGAACACAUCCCGUAUCAUCUCAGUGGAAUUCCUAUCCUUCAAGACAGCUUGCCCACAAGAUAACACAUGGGAAAGGUUCUGUAGGAUCAUU
Molecule: long non-coding RNA, 1878 nt
Organism: Lynx canadensis (Canada lynx)
Lineage: Eukaryota; Metazoa; Chordata; Mammalia; Carnivora; Felidae
Exons: 4
Source: RefSeq, a predicted model, not a curated record